CCUACGGGUGGCAGCAGUGAGGAAUAUUGGUCAAUGGGCGUAAGCCUGAACCAGCCAAGUCGCGUGAGGGAUGAAGGUUCUAUGGAUCGUAAACCUCUUUUAUAAGGGAAUAAAGUGUGGGACGUGUCCUAUUUUGUAUGUACCUUAUGAAUAAGGAUAGGCUAACUCCGUGCCAGCAGCCGCGGUAAUACGGAGGAUCCGAGCGUUAUCCGGAUUUAUUGGGUUUAGAGGGUGCGUAGGCGGCCUUUUAAGUCAGCGGUGAAAGUCUGUGGCUCAACCAUAGAAUUGCCGUUGAAACUGGGGGGCUUGAGUAUGGUUGAGGCAAGCGGAAUGCGUGGUGUAGCGGUGAAAUGCUUAGAUAUCACGCAGAACCCCGAUUGCGAAGGCAGCCUGCCAAGCCAUGACUGACGCUGAUGUACGAAAGCGUGGGGAUCAAACAGGAUUAGAUACCCUAGUAGUC
RNAcentral lists this ribosomal RNA (460 nucleotides) under uncultured bacterium. RNAcentral's name for it is "partial 16S ribosomal RNA". It matches the Rfam family "Bacterial small subunit ribosomal RNA", at positions 338 to 795 of the family's 1533-position model. The record is from RNAcentral.